Long non-coding RNA from Magnolia sinica, 2843 nucleotides. RefSeq lists it as uncharacterized. Lineage: Eukaryota; Viridiplantae; Streptophyta; Magnoliopsida; Magnoliales; Magnoliaceae. The transcript is spliced from 2 exons. The record is from RefSeq and is a predicted model, not a curated record.
UAAAUUUAAAAAAGGAUGGAAAAGGUUUAAUAAUUGCUCUUGGAAGGCCAUGUUCCUACUGUAAUUUAGUUUUAGCUCUACCAAGCAUUGCCUAAAAUAAAAGCCAUUGUGGGCUUCUAUCCUUCAAUCCUUCAGCUCAUGGGAGUGAAUUUGGUGUUUCUAUGCUUGUCAUGAGCAGUGGAGUUUUGUUGGGCAGUAUCCUAUCAAAUUCCAUGGUUUUAAGUUGUAGUGCAGAAUUGCAGGCCAGUAACAGCCCCAAGGAUCUGUUCUGAUUUUGACUGAUUCAUAGAGUUUGGUUGUGGCCCCAUAAAUUAUUUCUAUGGGCUGCUCAGAUAUCGGACAUUCUUUUAGUGAUUCAUGCAUUGCAACAUCUUUUUGUUUCUGAAUUGAUGCAAGUGGAGUCGAUUUUGUUUUAACUGGGUUUACUGGUUCCUCCGUUUUUGUGUUUUUUUUUUUUUCCAUGCUUCUUCACUGGUACUUCUGUAUGUAAUAAGUGAUGAAAUUUGGACAAAAUUCUCAUCAUCUGAUAUGUACCCGAAGUUGAAUUUUGGAAGUAUUGCAUUUAUGUAGAGCAAUAGAUGACUAUUCCCAGGGAUCUUUUAGGGUUAUAUUCCUUUUUCCUUCUCAUUGCAUCUAUUAGUUGGCAUUGAUGUUUUGUUUGGAGCUGAACCUUUCUGAUUGUCUUGCAUUAGUGUGGAUCUGAUACUUGAUGCAGUAGGAAAGUCCAUAAUAAUGAUAUAAAUGAUUGAGUGAUUGAACUGAUAUUUGGAAUAAAAUGUCUCCAUUCCAUGCUAAGGCUUCCUUAUCAAAAGCUAGUUGUAAAAAUACAGAAUAUCGUUACUGUAUCAGUAUGUUAUGCACAAAUUUUUUUUCUAAUCAUUCUUUGCAGUGCAGUUUGAAUGGGAUAGCUAUCCAAAUUAGAACUUUUUUGAAUUUUUGCUCAUUGUACUAUUCCAUUAUCCAUUUAUUUCUAAUCUCCUCCUCUAUGAACUUGUGCACAUUUGAUGUAACCAGACCAUCCAGUGUAUAGACUGCUCAUUGUGAAAUUUAAUUUCUGCAGUUCAUUUUCCAUUGGAUCAGCUCUUCUUUUUUUCUUUUUUUCUUUUUUUCUGAAAGAUCCAAUGGAUCAACUCAUUCUCUUCUUUUUUAUUAAAACCGUGACUUUUUCCUUCUCACUAUUGAAAUGGGAUGUCGUAUCUGGGAAACUCUGAAGUUUGUUAUGUCGUGACUGAUGUAACUAGCCAAACAAAAGCACUACUGAUUCAGUUAUAAUGCAGUAGAAGGUUCUGCACACAUUAUCUUGACUUUUCUUGUUUGUGAACUGUCGUUAUUUUACAUUACUUUCAUUUCAUUGGUGUCAUGUUCAAGUGUCAAGGCAAUUUUAUAUGCUCCAAAGAUGAGACGCAUCAGGUUUUCUGUUUGUUACUGUUAUUAGGUGGGAAGGCGAAAAUCAGCCUGCAAAUGAGAAGGGUAAGCUGUGUUGCACGGAAAGCCCCAAGUUUUAGUGGUCCACUAAUGCUUUCAAACCAAGCUUCUGCAAACAGUUUAUCCUUUUGACUGAGCUGGAAAGGGAGAGGACUGCUAGGUCAGAUUUGGAAAGGGCUGCCCAUGUUGAUUUAUUAAACAUCAACACAGAGAUUUUUCCCUUCAUUUCUUAGGUAAUGUGACGAAGAACUUUGGAAAAGGAUUAGUUUCAUUCGGUUCUGAAAAACUUGAACUAUCAGUAAAGAAAAAUUCAGAUCAUACAAGCCUUCUGAAGACAUGACCUUUGAUGUGCAUUAGCUCUGCCGUCACCAUACUUAUCGUGUUAAGCUGUCAAUUGUGCCCUUCCUUUUUGAUCUUUCUAUUCUAUGUUAUUCAAUUCCCUGGGCACUUAAAUGGCUCUCAUGACAGUUAUAUUCUUUUGGGAAGCUUAUGAGACAUUCUUUUACGGUAACCUCUCACUGUCCUUAUCGUAGUAACCAGCGUCUUACACUAGCAUGUGUUUGAUGCUUCAUUACAGUUUCUUUUUUCAUAAAAGUCUCCACUAUAGCGUUUGGUUGCAUUAAAUGGCCAAAGGUGCGUUUGGUUGCAUCAGUGAUUGACUUGAUCCUUCCAAUCAUGGUAGUAAGUGUUUGUUGUGAGCAGCUAACAUCUGAUCAUGUAUAUCCUCCACGGGAGUGUUGAUUUUGCAAGAAUCUGCAAGGGCAGGUCUAGCAACAAGCAGAAUGGAAGAACUUUCUGCAUAAGUUUUAUUAUGCUAUAUUUCCAUGAAUGUUUCUUGUUGGAUGUGUAUAUUAACGUUCUUUUUGAUAAGUAGAAUGUCUAUGAACAGAUCCACUUUGCUGUAUUUUUUUGAUAAGAAGGAAGACCGGUCUACAUCAAGAGACUUGGUAAAGCUGAACCAAACAAGCUUAUGCACAUUACUAGAAUACACAACUACUUAAGGUAUCAUGUACAUGAGUAUGAGAGGGUCUUCCUCUAUGAAAGUUCAUUACUAUGAGGACGUACCUAAUAAGAUGAAGGUUCAUUACUUCACCUUACCAUUUUCAUAUUCAUUUCAGUUCUGAUAUGGAAUAAUUUUUGUUCUGGAUAUGGCAAUAUGCCUUCAACAAAGUGGUCCUCAAGAACAUUGAUGCUUGCAAGCAGCUCUCCACCAUCACCUGAACUUCGCUCGGACCGAACGGUAACAGCUCCGCCUACUGAAGUUUCUUCGCCCGGAAAAUAUUCAAAAUUUUCGGUGCUUUUUAGUAGACUUUCUUAUUCAUUUCCCAUUUUUGUGUUAUUUUCGGAAUUGUUAAUAAUGACUAGGAUUUCUGUUAAUUAUUCGGUAAUGUCGAUUAGUGGGUGAUUGUUAUGUUAUA